RNAcentral lists this long non-coding RNA (5376 nucleotides) under Daucus carota (carrot). RNAcentral's name for it is "long non-coding RNA (DCAR_LNC002287)". The record is from RNAcentral. Lineage: Eukaryota; Viridiplantae; Streptophyta; Magnoliopsida; Apiales; Apiaceae.
GUGGAGUUGAUGGCGGGGGGAAAUCUUCGGCCGGCAUAGCAAACGGCCGAGCCAUUGCUUCCAUCUUCUCUAGUGUCAGAUAUGACCCUGCUUCUUGCAGUCUCUCUGGCCCCAUUAUCGGUAAUGUGUGCUCUUGAUGCAAUGAAGUAGCCUCACUAUCAUUCUUCUGCAUAUCAAAACAGGAUACACUUUAACUUGCUGAUUUGAAAUUGUUGACCUGCUAAAGUUCUCUAAUUCUGUGAUAUUAUCAUACUCCAUAUUAAGCAAUUUAACUACGGGUCCAGUUCCCGGUCAAUCGAUUGUUGCAGCAAACUAUUUGCGGUUUGUUAUAGCGGAAAGACAUUAACUCUGGGAGCAUGAGUGGCCCAUAAGCCCAUUCGCACUUUAGACACUCAUUCUAGGGUUUUUUUCUUUCCGCGGUGAAAAACAGCAGAUAGUUUGUUGCCACAAUCAAUUGCUAGGGACCGUCUCCCUUUAACUAGAUAUAAAAAAUAGAUCUAGCACUCAUGUCUAAUAUGAUGGGUGGCUUUAUUGCAGAGCCUUUACUUCAUUUAAUUAAUGUUAUUGGUAAACACUUAUAAUACGUCAACUCUAUGUCUACCACAACAAUCACAGCUAAAAAAGAACUGCAGAUUCCAAAAGGAACAAUUACUAAUAGUCAAGAAGAUAUAUGUGAUGAGUAAAAUCUCUCCUAACAAUUUUACCCAAGCAAUAGAUGAAUUUAAAGUGAAAAUAUUAUAAUAGAAUUUGAAGACUAUUACCAGCUGUCUUUAUAGGUCACUUCCCCCAUGUAACUUUAGUGCACUUAAAUAUAGAAACCAAAUUACGGUGACAAGGGGCAGUAACACUUGUAAUCAAGGUAACUGUAUCAUAUCUUAUCAAUGAGAUAAUUAUUACCUCCAAAGGUGAUAAAUCUGCACCACGGCUAAAAGUCAUUUCUAUACGGAAGCGCUUGGGAUCUUCUAAAGGCAACUGCAGAUAUACCAAAAAUACAUCUAAAUUGGUGAGCAGGUAUGCAUGUUUAUAUAUAUUUUUUAAUUAUAAAACCAUAACAAAAUAAUCUGUUUUUAGGUCACCAAUUAUAUUCCUUAGAAAACUGUUUAUUAAAGAGUACCUGUGCAGAAUAUAUAUAAUGUGAAGUUCUACAUGUACAAGAUAAAUCACAGGAAGGCAUGUCUUCAAACAAUGAUGGGACUAUAGGGGACAUGCAACUAUCUGAAGUCGGUAAGGUAAAUUUCUAGAAAAAUAUAUAGCAGAAAAGCAAAGUUUGGGGUCUGACCAAAUGAAUUUUGCGUAAUCACAGUAAGACCAAUAGUAAACUGAAAUUCGUUAGGACAAUAGUGGGAAUGAAUAGGUGAUUAACGGAUUAUAACCCAUUAGCAAACACAAUUUUGAAGUUAUAAUGAUACUACCUAACUAGAUACCUCUUGAACAGUAGAUAAAUCAUCUUGAGGUGUAUUUAGUAAACACUUAAUUUACAAAUCAAGGCCAGUACUGAAUCUGAUUGCUCAACUAUCAAGGUUCUAAAGCAUAUUAAAGUGAUGUAUAUAGUAUGCUUUGGUAAAACAAUAUUCAGAGAUCAGAAAUCUUACACAGAAAUGAGACAACAGAAAUUAAUGCAAAUGAUCAUUGCACCUAGAAUUAUGUAAAUAACAGAUACAAUCUAGUAGAGAACAAGAUAUUGGAUUGCAAAACCGUGCAUUUAGCUCUGAAAAAGUUAACCAAAAAGAAAGUUGCACGAUGUUCUGAGCAAAAUAUCUUCAGCAAUGAAUCCUUGUUUUAUUAGAAAAAGUGCCUAACUAGCAGGUUGAUUUAUAUGGGAAUGGUGACUGUAGCUUCUGAAAAGUGAAAUGACAACUACACAGGCAGAAAGCAAAUCUGCACAUGCCACAACAUGAUUAACAGUAUAUUGCCAAAGGAGGGCAAUAAAUUAUAUAUCAAAUCCCUGGGGAUUGUAGCAUAGUAGUCUCCCCUCUUUCUCCUAUUAACAGGAGGUGAGGAUUUAAGGCAUAUGUGAAAGGGAGGAUGUGAAGUGCUGAUUCACACUGAUACUAGAAACCCUAGAAACAUAUAACCAAGCUUCUAAUGCAAGCUAUAUCACAUAAAAUGGAAGAUGCACCUACCUCCGUGUUUUCAAACAUUCUCAAAACAAUAUAACUCAUGUAGUCAAGCUCCUUUGUUUUAAAUAGGCGUUCCAAAGCAUUGUCACAGAACAUGCUAUCCUCUCCUUGAAGUGAUUCAUCCAAGUUACAGUAGCGAAGAACAUUCAUCAAAGAGUGAAUAUGUGAUUCCUGUCAAAUGAAUCAUGCAAAAACUAUAUUAAUAUGGUGGAUCAACACAGUGAACAGUAAAAAAAAUGAUCUAUGCCAUUACAUUGCCUAGGCUUAAUGGACAGGGAGAAGAGGGACAAGGGAACAUCAAGCCAAACUUAGCUAGUCAUUAAUCAUCUAAAAAUCUAAACGAGUUGCAAAAUUUUGACGUACUAUAUACUUACAGAUGUGAAGUAAAGGCGCGUUCGAACAUGUCUAUCCGGUGUCCUCACAUUUGCAUAUCUAAGGGGAAAAUGUAGUACAGCGUCAUUAAUAUUAUAACGAAGAUAUGUAUUUCUGAUUUCAUGUCACUUAUAUAUCACAAACAAGUUAGGAACAAAUUUUUCAAUAAGGAAAAGGAUGUCGCAGUUACUUUGGAUCCAACCGGUAUUUGAUCUCUUUGUCAUCAUCCUCCUCCUGAUCCAUCGACAUGUCACUUGUGAAGCUGUUCCUCCUGGUGUCCUCCAUUCGAAUAUGAGAUAUUCGUUGAUGAUCCUGUUCUUCUUUUGUUGUCUUGUUGACUGUUGCCUCUUUCUCAGUCUUCACUGGUGGUGGUUCUGUAAAGGUGGUAUUAAUUGUUGAUUCUUGCUCCUGAUUACUCUUUAGUUCAGCAACACUGAUUGCUUCCUCACGAGUGUUCCUCAGAUCAAUCAAUAUUUUACCAAGCAAGCGUCGAGCAAUCUGAAAUGUAAAUAUAGAACGACACAAGUGACAGUUCCCUGUUAGAUAAUGGCAUUUGCAGAUAGUCUACACAGAUAGUCUACAGUACAGUGCUGUGAAAUAAGCUAAAAAAGAGUGUAACAUUGAAGUACGCUAAUGCUAUAAUCAGUUUGCGUUGACAUGUAGGUUCUUAAAUAAGAUCCUGAAACAAAAGAGCACAUUUAACUCAUAAACCCUAGGAGUAGUAACUUGUGUGGAAGUUGGUGCCUGCAUUUUGACACUGCUACUUCCUUCAGUUGUAUUAGAUCUUUUCCUGACAUUUUCCAAUAUUCUGAACACUGAAGAGAAAAUAACAAUAACAUGAAAGUAAAUAUGUCUCGUAAUGCGAUGUUUACCUUUGAGCCAAUCUUCAGUUUCUGCUUUGGAUUAAUACCAUACUCAUUGGGAAUAACACCGUCUGCAAGUAACUGAAAUUCAACAGCAAGUAUCGGGUCAGUUGGAAUGUAAUUACAAGACUAUUGCCCUCAGAUAGUCGUUAACAUAGGCGACUAAAUCUAUCUUACUCCAAAUCUAAUUAGGACGAACACCAAACUAUCAAUAAAGUGAACCAUAUUUUAAUAAGAUGCAGUUGCAAAUUGCAAUCACAUCAAAACAAAAUUUUCGAUUUGUUCAAUAAAAGAAAACACUGGGGUUGCACCAAAUAUACACGGCAAAGAUAUUGGCCCUGAAUUCUUUUAGAAUAAAGAGAAGUACAGGAAAAUAUAUGAAGGGAAGUGAAAUAACUUUGUCUGCUCCUGAGCAUUGACAAAAGAAAAUAGAAGUAACAUGAUUAAAUACAUAUAUAUAGGUGUGACAAAAAAAAAUACAAAUAUAUAGAUACGAGGAGAAUAUGGUUUUACUUGGAAUCAAGAAGUUUCUAAAACGCCUUUAUUCACUUUACUCCUAACCCCUGUUCAACCCACUGAGGAGUAAAAGCUUUGGAGUGAGAUGGAAGGUCUCUUUUUUUUUAGCUGAAAGAAAUUAAGGUAAUUUCACUUCUUUUAGUUUUGGUUUUUCCCGUAUCCGAAACUCCAUAGUUUAAGACUCUAAUCUACUUAAUAUACUUACAUCCCAUGUAUCUGAUAUCUGCGCAAUUUGAAAGUCAGAAGCAGGUCUAGUUAAUAAUUACAAGAAACACCAAAGAUAAUCUAACUAAAAGAACUACAUGCAAAUGAAGGAAUGCCAAACAUGAAACAAAUUACUCUCUUCCAGUAAUAUCUGAAACAAUUGAAGAUGCGAGGUCAGAAAUAAUAUUUAGUUUGUUACCUGAGCAACUUUGAAGAGUUCAUCCAACCCUUCUACAUUAAGAUGCGCAUUGUGCAAGAGAUCAUACCUGUUAAAAGGAAUGGACAAGUACACAAUCACAAUAUCAGAAAUUGAUUUGUCAUCUAACUAAAUUAAAGAUAUUACAAACAUAAUAUUGGAAAAAGAAAAUAAGAGAUCAUUUGUUAAUAAUUUGGCACUAUCAGUAACCUUUGGUGGUUUAUACAUAUUCCAUAUGAAUGCUUUUUUAUCCCCUUAAAUCUGAACAAUUGACCCUUUCAGAUCAAUGUGCUACAUAAAAUCUUAAAUCUGCAUAAUUUACCAUUUCCUGACACUUUCAUCCUCUAAUUCUAUGCCCUUAAACCUCUCAUACGAUAACAUUAUAUGAGUAUUAUAAGACAUUUGUUCACAAAGAUGAGAGAGAUCUUGAAAGGUUGGGAUCAAAUCUAGACCAGCAUACACACACAUCCUAAGGCAAAGCCGGCGCUGUUUCUUUUGACCUUGCAAGAAAAGGCAUACCAUCCAUAGCAAAACUAUAUGGCAGCGCCAAAGAAACUCUGUUUAACCUAAGAAUGAAAGCAGUGCAAGACAAGCACUUAAUAUGUGAUACACAUAUAUCACAUAAGAACUAUCAUUCUCUAAGCAUAACAUUCGUGCACACACAAGAUAACUAGUUUAAAAGUCUUAAAAUUGAUUUGCAAUUUAUAAUCAUUAAUACUUUCAGGCUUCAGCAGCAGAAAUUAGGAAAACCUGUAUCACAUUUUGGUAAUUGUUCCAUACACUUCACACCAGACAUAGAUGCUAAGGCAACAACUUACUUGCAUGAGUCAUAAACAUCUGGAAUUUGUGUAAUGUCAAAACGCCUGCAAUACAACCACAAAGGUGAAAAUUGUUAUAUAAAUGUAACCAAUUAAACAGUCAGGCACUUGCGAAAAUCUUGAAGUAAUGAAGACAGAUACUCACUCCUUUCGUUCAUUAUAUAGGUCUCUCUCAAGUUUUCUCCAUCGAGCAUACAUUAAAAGAAAUCCCUCGCUGCCACAGGGUAAUCCAGCAGCAAUACGAUCAACAUCUAUAUUUGUUUUACCUAAUGCCCUUGCUUGAUCGU